Molecule: transfer RNA, 65 nt
Filed under: Lepidozona coreanica
Lineage: Eukaryota; Metazoa; Mollusca; Polyplacophora; Chitonida; Ischnochitonidae
Description: tRNA-Arg
Source: RNAcentral
GUCUUAAAGAGUUAUUCUCAAGUAUGGUUUCGGCCCAUAUUUCAACAACAUUUUGUUUUAAGAUU